UACAGAGGGGGCAAGCGUUGUUCGGAAUUACUGGGCGUAAAGGGCGCGUAGGCGGCUGUGUAAGUCAAAGGUGAAAUCCCUCAGCUCAACUGAGGAACUGCCUUUGAAACUGCACAGCUUGAGGCCGGGAGGGGGUGGCGGAAUUCCCAGUGUAGCGGUGAAAUGCGUAGAUAUUGGGAGGAACACCAGUGGCGAAGGCGGCCACCUGGACCGGUUCUGACGCUGAUGCGCGAAAGCGUGGGUAGCAAACAGG
RNAcentral lists this ribosomal RNA (253 nucleotides) under uncultured bacterium. RNAcentral's name for it is "partial 16S ribosomal RNA". It matches the Rfam family "Bacterial small subunit ribosomal RNA", at positions 524 to 776 of the family's 1533-position model. The record is from RNAcentral.